RNAcentral lists this ribosomal RNA (497 nucleotides) under uncultured bacterium. RNAcentral's name for it is "partial 16S ribosomal RNA". It matches the Rfam family "Bacterial small subunit ribosomal RNA", at positions 28 to 507 of the family's 1533-position model. The record is from RNAcentral.
GAUGAACGCUGGCGGCGUGCCUAAUACAUGCAAGUCGAGCGAACAGAUGAGGAGCUUGCUCCUCUGACGUUAGCGGCGGACGGGUGAGUAACACGUGGAUAACCUACCUAUAAGACUGGGAUAACUUCGGGAAACCGGAGCUAAUACCGGAUAAUAUAUUGAACCGCAUGGUUCAAUAGUGAAAGACGGUUUUGCUGUCACUUAUAGAUGGAUCCGCGCCGCAUUAGCUAGUUGGUAAGGUAACGGCUUACCAAGGCAACGAUGCGUAGCCGACCUGAGAGGGUGAUCGGCCACAAUGGAACUGAGACACGGUCCAGACUCCUACGGGAGGCAGCAGUAGGGAAUCUUCCGCAAUGGGCGAAAGCCUGACGGAGCAACGCCGCGUGAGUGAUGAAGGUCUUCGGAUCGUAAAACUCUGUUAUUAGGGAAGAACAAAUGUGUAAGUAACUAUGCGCGUCUUGACGGUACCUAAUCAGAAAGCCACGGCUAACUACGUG